Molecule: non-coding RNA, 264 nt
Organism: Miniopterus natalensis
Lineage: Eukaryota; Metazoa; Chordata; Mammalia; Chiroptera; Miniopteridae
Source: RefSeq, a predicted model, not a curated record
AGUAGAAAUAAAGCAGCAAUCAAACUGAUCUUUUCAUCUAGAUUAGAGGAUUCCCUUACACUGGCAUUGGAGUGCAGUGCUUUACCUUCUGAACUGGACGCAAAGAAAUCAGUGUUCACUCUGGAAUCCCUGCAAUAACCAUAUUUCACAGAGGAUAUAUUCCAGAGUCCUUAAUGUAGUUGGCUUCACCGAAUUCCAUAUGACAAAGUCUUCAUGAGGUGCAGAUCUGUUUUAGAACUAAGAAUAACCAGACACUUCAUUAUA